RNAcentral lists this ribosomal RNA (1603 nucleotides) under Butyricimonas virosa. RNAcentral describes it as "bacterial SSU rRNA". It matches the Rfam family "Bacterial small subunit ribosomal RNA". The record is from RNAcentral. Lineage: Bacteria; Pseudomonadati; Bacteroidota; Bacteroidia; Bacteroidales; Odoribacteraceae.
GUUAGUCCACGUUUCCGCGGGUUAUCUCCCCGUACGGGGUUGGUUGCACACGUGUUACUCACCCGUGCCCCGGUCGCCACCAGUGUAUCGCUACACCCCGCCGCCCCUCCACCUGCAAGUGUAAGCCCGUCCCUUAGAGUUUUGUACUGGCUCAGGAUGAACGCUAGCGACAGGCUUAACACAUGCAAGUCGAGGGGCAGCACGGUGUAGCAAUACACUGGUGGCGACCGGCGCACGGGUGAGUAACACGUGUGCAACCAACCCCGUACCGGGAGAUAACCCGCGGAAACGUGGACUAACAUCCCAUGAUACUCGAGAUCCGCAUGGCUCUAGAUUUAAAAUUCCGGUGGUACGGGACGGGCACGCGCGACAUUAGGUAGUUGGCGGGGUAACGGCCCACCAAGCCGACGAUGUCUAGGGGUUCUGAGAGGAAGGUCCCCCACACUGGAACUGAGACACGGUCCAGACUCCUACGGGAGGCAGCAGUGAGGAAUAUUGGUCAAUGGGCGAGAGCCUGAACCAGCCAAGUCGCGUGAGGGAAGAAUGGUCUAUGGCCUGUAAACCUCUUUUGUCAGGGAAGAAUAAGGAUGACGAGUCAUUCGAUGCCAGUACUUGACGAAUAAGCAUCGGCUAACUCCGUGCCAGCAGCCGCGGUAAUACGGGGGAUGCGAGCGUUAUCCGGAUUUAUUGGGUUUAAAGGGCGCGUAGGCGGGACGUCAAGUCAGCGGUAAAAGACUGCAGCUAAACUGUAGCACGCCGUUGAAACUGGCGCCCUGGAGACGAGACGAGGGAGGCGGAACAAGUGAAGUAGCGGUGAAAUGCAUAGAUAUCACUUGGAACCCCGAUAGCGAAGGCAGCUUCCCAGGCUCGUUCUGACGCUGAUGCGCGAGAGCGUGGGUAGCGAACAGGAUUAGAUACCCUGGUAGUCCACGCCGUAAACGAUGCUCACUGGAUCUUGGCGAUACACUGCCAGGGUUCAAGCGAAAGUAUUAAGUGAGCCACCUGGGGAGUACGUCGGCAACGAUGAAACUCAAAGGAAUUGACGGGGGCCCGCACAAGCGGAGGAACAUGUGGUUUAAUUCGAUGAUACGCGAGGAACCUUACCCGGGUUUAAAUGUAGAUUGCAUGAGGUGGAAACGCUUCUUCCCUUCGGGGCUAUUUACAAGGUGCUGCAUGGUUGUCGUCAGCUCGUGCCGUGAGGUGUCGGGUUAAGUCCCAUAACGAGCGCAACCCCUAUCGCCAGUUGCCAUCGGUUGAAGCCGGGCACUCUGUCGAGACUGCCACCGUAAGGUGCGAGGAAGGCGGGGAUGACGUCAAAUCAGCACGGCCCUUACACCCGGGGCGACACACGUGUUACAAUGGCCGGUACAGAGGGCAGCCACGGGGUGACCCGGAGCGAAUCUCUAAAGCCGGUCGUAGUUCGGACUGGAGUCUGCAACCCGACUCCACGAAGUUGGAUUCGCUAGUAAUCGCGCAUCAGCCAUGGCGCGGUGAAUACGUUCCCGGGCCUUGUACACACCGCCCGUCAAGCCAUGGAAGCCGGGAGUACCUGAAGAUCGUGACCGCGAGGAACGGGCUAGGGUAAUACCGGUAACUGGGGCUA